AGAGUUUGAUCCUGGCUCAGGACGAACGCUGGCGGCGUGCUUAACACAUGCAAGUCGUACGAGGUUUUCCGAGGUGCUUGCACUUUGGAAGCCUAGUGGCGAACGGGUGCGUAACACGUGAGCAACCUGUCUUACGGUGGGGGAUAGCCGGCCCAACGGCCGGGUAAUACCGCGUAAUGCGGCGAAACAUAUGUUUCGUCGUGAAAGCGGCCGCAAGGUCGCGCCGGAGGAGGGGCUCGCGGCCUAUCAGCUUGUUGGUGGGGUAACGGCCUACCAAGGCUACGACGGGUAGCUGGUCUGAGAGGAUGAUCAGCCACAUUGGGACUGAGAUACGGCCCAGACUCCUACGGGAGGCAGCAGUGGGGAAUAUUGCGCAAUGGCCGCAAGGCUGACGCAGCGACGCCGCGUGUGGGAUGAAAGCCUUCGGGUUGUAAACCACUGUCGGGAGGGACGAAUACCUGGCUUCGAAUAGUUGACCAGGGGUGACGGUACCUCUAAAGGAAGCACCGGCUAACUCCGUGCCAGCAGCCGCGGUAAUACGGAGGGUGCGAGCGUUGUCCGGAAUCACUGGGCGUAAAGAGCGCGUAGGCGGCCGUUUAAGUCAUUUGUGAAAUGCCGGGGCUCAACUCCGGAACUGCACGUGAUACUG
RNAcentral lists this ribosomal RNA (649 nucleotides) under uncultured bacterium. RNAcentral's name for it is "bacterial SSU rRNA". It matches the Rfam family "Bacterial small subunit ribosomal RNA", at positions 8 to 635 of the family's 1533-position model. The record is from RNAcentral.